UUGUCGAUGCCACUCUCGAAGCUCCCAACUUUCAGUCAGAGAUGAGGAUAGUGGGCCUCAAUCAAAAGCAUUCAAGAAACUUACAUCCACCCCGUUGCGUACGAGGUGAUUUUCUUACGGACCUGAUCGGAUUUCACCUAGAAAAUGAGAACCUCCUCAAAAUGAAUUUUAAAUAUUUUCAAUUUUCUCCAAUAUCUUAACACAAUUAUUUCACCAAACAAUAUUGCUUGGAACAAAGUCGAAUAGUUAAAGAUCAUAUAUUACACUUUCUUCCUAUUCUUCCUUGUUUCGUAAUGAACAAUAUAUCAAAAAGUCACACAAUCUUCUUAGCAAAAAAAAAAUAAAAAAUCACAUAAUUGUUGCUUACCUCCAUACAAUUCACAUGUCUCACAUAAUUGUUGCUUACCUCCACAAUUCACAUGUCUCAGUUCUCAGACUCAUAAUGUUAUAGCAUACAUACUAUUCUUCUUCUUCUUCUUCUUCUUCUUGGGCAUAAAAUGCCAAAAGCACUUGCAUUUAUCAAAUCAACACUUACAUGGACAACAACAUGCCAACAAAAAUUGACUUGAAAAAACCUCACUGUCGUAUGUUUUAUUAUUUUGCUGAUGUGAUGUGCUCAAAAUAAAUGGUUAGAUUGGCCCAAGUGUUACGUGUUCAUGCAUAAAAUGAUAAUGUUGGAGGCAGUGUCAUCAUCUCUUCUUGUAUAUACCAAAUAAGCAAACAAAUCAACAAAAACCCAGAAAUGCAGCUCACAUAUGUAAUUAUACGAAUGCAAGACUCGACAUCUUACUUGAUAAUAUCAGACUCGUGUCUAUGACCAUGAUGAUCUUUUUAGGACACAAAAAAUCACUCUUUUUUCUUUAUAUACUACUUAGGCAGAAAACACUAAAACACAACCCCUAAAUCCAACUCAAUCAGAUGUAAAACAAAUUCGAAUAUAAUUUUCUAAAUUCAAAUUAAAAAAAUCUAUUUGUUUCUAAAGCCCAAUUAUAUUAAAUCACAAAUUUGAAGCAGAUUUUGGCACACAAUAGGUCAAUAAGGUAGGAAUCGUUUCAGACUAACCUUGAUGGCCGGCAUUGGAGGAAUCGUCCAAUUACUGUCGGAAAGCUUGAGGAGGAAUUUCAAUUUGAAAGAUCUCAAGCAAAGUGGCUUGCUUGGUGAGGAGGAGUCGCACAAGAUUUUCAAUUGGAAAACAAGACGAUGACCAGGCAGGGAGAAAUCAGGAGGAAAGAGAUGA
RNAcentral lists this long non-coding RNA (1237 nucleotides) under Malus domestica (apple). RNAcentral describes it as "long non-coding RNA (MDOM_LNC006993)". The record is from RNAcentral. Lineage: Eukaryota; Viridiplantae; Streptophyta; Magnoliopsida; Rosales; Rosaceae.